ACUGGGGCACCGAGAGGCGGCCGCGGACGACGGCGCGGGGGCCGGGGAGCAGGCGGCGGGCCGGGCGCGACCGCGGGGACACUCACCGUUUGGGGCGCGCGGGGCGGCCUCAUCCAGGGCACCUGCGGCCAGGCAGGACGGGCCCGGACGGCGCAGUCACCGACAGGGCGAGUCCGCCUGCCCUCCGGUGCGUCCCGUCCCCUCCGACUGCCCAGCGAGCGCAGCGUCGCUUCCUCCGGACGGAGCCCGGGGACCCCAGCUCCGCCGGAUGCCCCCGCCAGGCCCCCACCCCCUUCCCUGCCGCCUCCCCUUCUUCACCCGUUUCCCCUCCCCCCUCCCCCCAACCCCCACCAGAAUGGAAAAUACCUCCCGGGGCGGGGGGCGGGGGGCGGGCAGGGGCACGCCUCUCUGAAGGGCAGCCUACCGUGACCAAUAGCAGGCAGGGCUUUAGAGGGGCGGGAUUCCUAGCGGCCAAUCCGGAGGCGGGUAGGUGAAGGCCGAAGGAGGGAGGCAGGGCGCGAGACGGGGGCGGCCCGGGAGUCGGGGAGGUCCGGCCGCUUGGGUGCGCGCUCUGCGCGGCUGCCAUUUUGGAGUCUGGCAGCUGCGACGGGCGCCGUGUCCGGCCGGGGAAAGGGAGGAGCCAGUCAGUCUUAGGGAGAAGGAGAGGAAAGUGCUGAAUGGAGGGCGUGAGUGCCGAGUAGGAAAAUGUGAAUGAGUCUCUCCAGCGCCCUUCAGCAUGGAGCCACCCAGUUAGCAAGUUCCAAGAUCCACGGGAAACCGGGCACCUCCUGCAAUUCAAGUAUUCCUAUCCCCGCCCCCAGCUGCCACAAAAAUGACUCACAAAUCGGAGGGAGGGGUGUCGGUCUCCGUCGUUUUGUCUGCAUUUUAUAUGGAAGGGCCCCCUCCCUGGAAAUGGCUGAAAGGGUGGAGGAAGAGAAGCAUAGUUCACGCCUGCAAGGGCUCUUCCCGCUGGCUUUUUUUUUUUUUUUUUUUUUGGUAGACAGUGUCUUCCUGUGUUGCCCAAGCUAAUCUCGAACUCCUGGGUUCCAGGGAUCCUCCUACCCCGGCCUCCCCUCCCAAAGUGCUGGGGUUACAGGCGUGAACCACCAUGCCCGGCCCCACUAGUGUUUUAGAAACCUUGUCGUCGUUCACAAACGUACCGGUCACUUCUUAAGUGUUAGACAUAACCUUGAUCAUGUUCCAGCGCCUCAACUUAAUAAACCAAAAAGCUCUCCUG
RNAcentral lists this long non-coding RNA (1237 nucleotides) under Homo sapiens (human). RNAcentral describes it as "non-protein coding lnc-PIGF-4:3". The record is from RNAcentral. Lineage: Eukaryota; Metazoa; Chordata; Mammalia; Primates; Hominidae.